ACGUAGGAUACCUGGUCAGGAGCCCCGACGAAUCAGGACACGCCACGUGAUAACGGGCACUGACGUGGUGCCAUGUGGGGAGUCACGCGGGCGAUCUAUGUGCCCGUUCGGACGGCCUGGAUGCACUCCCUCCCAAACGCGAUCGAACGACCAUAUUCAAACGCGAUCGAACGAUCCAGAGUGGAUCACGAUGGACGACCCAGAUUGGAUCGCGAUGAACGGUCUAGAUUCACUCUCUAUUUAAUCGUGAUCGAACAGUACAUAUCAAACGUGAUGGACGAUCUAGAUAAAAAACGGACGGAUAUAGAUAACCCCUAUCCGCAC
This 324-nucleotide long non-coding RNA is filed under the name Carica papaya (papaya). RNAcentral describes it as "long non-coding RNA (CPAP_LNC011342)". The record is from RNAcentral. Lineage: Eukaryota; Viridiplantae; Streptophyta; Magnoliopsida; Brassicales; Caricaceae.